RNAcentral lists this long non-coding RNA (915 nucleotides) under Equus caballus (horse). RNAcentral describes it as "lncRNA (ENSECAG00000056858.1)". The record is from RNAcentral. Lineage: Eukaryota; Metazoa; Chordata; Mammalia; Perissodactyla; Equidae.
GGCAUUUGCUGACCUAGACCCGGGGCAGGAAGUCUAAACUCUGAGUGGAGGAUCUCCAAUUAAACAGGUCAAUAAUACCUUUGGCACCACAAAGACUUUCCCUCUAGAGCAAGAGAGGCUGGGAGAGAUGAUCGUAGGGUGAUUCACAAGAUAUGCUGGGCUUGAGAAUAGAAGUACACGCUGCUCGUGGGACUUUUAAGAUAUGGAUUUAAGACAAGUAGAAUCACCUGCCAUACUGGCAGAGAUACAUUUCAUGCUUGUGGAAGCAGGAUCAGACUUGUUUGGAGCCAAUCAUAGGAGGAAGUUCCCACAAGACAGAGUGUGGUUGACAACUUUCGAACAAUCUAAACUGUUGAAACAUGGAGCCAGGCUGCCUCUGAGAAAGUCACGAUGUUCUAGGCAAAGCUCCCUGUUGAUGUACAUCUCUCAUGCAAGAUUUAGAUCACCUCUUUUCGGGCAGAGCUCCAUGGAAACACCGCCCAUGAUUUCUGAAAUGGAGUCUGAUUGGGUCCUGGUAAUGCCCAGCUGGAGUCGACAGUGAUCUCUGCAGUUGACACAUUGCUGGACAGUUGGCAAGGCUGAGACUACCAGAAUGUAGUCCUUGGAGGCUAUUAUUAUUUUAAUGCCAUAGUAAAUUCCUGUUUACCUAAGGUGGCUAGGCAAUGGGGUAUUCUGGGCAAUGGAAAAUUUUGGUUCAUCUGGUUAUUACCAUCUGUAUCAUUUACUGAUUCUUGGUUUCCAAAGAAGUAAAUUACGACAUACCUUGUAAACACUAAAAUCAUGCACUGGUGUGAUAUAAGCUUUCUUUGAUAAUUUAUGAGCUACUUCAGGAUCUAUUAAUGUUCAAUACCAUCGUGAAGAUUGUAACCUCUUUUUCUGGAAUCCUGGGUGGAAACGCAGAAGGUUGGAACGCUG